GAAAUGCGAUAAUUAAUGUGAAUUGCAGAAUUCAGUGAAUCAUCGAGUCUUUGAACGCACAUUGCGCCCCCUGGUAUUCCGGGCGGCAUGCCUGUCCGAGCGUCAUUGCUGCCCUCAAGCACGGCUUGUGUGUUGGGCUUCCGUCCCUGGCAACGGGGACGGGCCCAAAAGGCAGUGGCGGCACCAUGUCUGGUCCUCGAGCGUAUGGGGCUUUGUCACCCGCUCCCGUAGGUCCAGCUGGCAGCUAGCCUCGCAACCAAUCUUUUUAACCAGGUUGACCUCGGAUCAGGUAGGGAUACCCGCUGAACUUAAGC
Molecule: unclassified non-coding RNA, 314 nt
Filed under: plant metagenome
Description: partial contains 5.8S ribosomal RNA, internal transcribed spacer 2, and large subunit ribosomal RNA
Rfam family: 5.8S ribosomal RNA (bases 1-105)
Source: RNAcentral